GACGAACGCUGGCGGCGUGCUUAACACAUGCAAGUCGAACGGAAAGGCCCUGCUUUUGUGGGGUGCUCGAGUGGCGAACGGGUGAGUAACACGUGAGUAACCUGCCCUUGACUUUGGGAUAACUUCAGGAAACUGGGGCUAAUACCGGAUAGGAGCUCCUGCUGCAUGGUGGGGGUUGGAAAGUUUCGGCGGUUGGGGAUGGACUCGCGGCUUAUCAGCUUGUUGGUGGGGUAGUGGCUUACCAAGGCUUUGACGGGUAGCCGGCCUGAGAGGGUGACCGGCCACAUUGGGACUGAGAUACGGCCCAGACUCCUACGGGAGGCAGCAGUGGGGAAUAUUGCACAAUGGGCGGAAGCCUGAUGCAGCAACGCCGCGUGCGGGAUGACGGCCUUCGGGUUGUAAACCGCUUUCGCCUGUGACGAAGCGUGAGUGACGGUAAUGGGUAAAGAAGCACCGGCUAACUACGUGCUAGCAGCCGCGGUGAUACGUAGGGUGCGAGCGUUGUCCGGAUUUAUUGGGCGUAAAGGGCUCGUAGGUGGUUGAUCGCGUCGGAAGUGUAAUCUUGGGGCUUAACCCUGAGCGUGCUUUCGAUACGGGUUGACUUGAGGAAGAUAGGGGAGAAUGGAAUUCCUGGUGGAGCGGUGGAAUGCGCAGAUAUCAGGAGGAACACCAGUGGCGAAGGCGGUUCUCUGGGCCUCUCCUGACGCUGAGGAGCGAAAGCGUGGGGAGCGAACAGGCUUAGAUACCCUGGUAGUCCACGCUGUAAACGGUGGGUACUAGGUGUGGGGUCCAUUCCACGGGUUCCGUGCCGUAGCUAACGCUUUAAGUACCCCGCCUGGGGAGUACGGCCGCAAGGCUAAAACUCAAAGGAAUUGACGGGGCCCCGCACAAGCGGCGGAGCAUGCGGAUUAAUUCGAUGCAACGCGUAGAACCUUACCUGGGUUUGACAUGGAUCGGGAGUGCUCAGAGAUGGGUGUGCCUCUUUUGGGGUCGGUUCACAGGUGGUGCAUGGCUGUCGUCAGCUCGUGUCGUGAGAUGUUGGGUUAAGUCCCGCAACGAGCGCAACCCUUGUUCACUGUUGCCAGCACGUUAUGGUGGGGACUCAGUGGAGACCGCCGGGGUCAACUCGGAGGAAGGUGGGGAUGACGUCAAGUCAUCAUGCCCCUUAUGUCCAGGGCUUCACGCAUGCUACAAUGGCUGGUACAGAGAGUGGCGAGCCUGUGAGGGUGAGCGAAUCUCGGAAAGCCGGUCUCAGUUCGGAUUGGGGUCUGCAACUCGACCUCAUGAAGUCGGAGUCGCUAGUAAUCGCAGAUCAGCAACGCUGCGGUGAAUACGUUCCCGGG
RNAcentral lists this ribosomal RNA (1343 nucleotides) under uncultured bacterium. RNAcentral describes it as "16S ribosomal RNA". It matches the Rfam family "Bacterial small subunit ribosomal RNA", at positions 28 to 1378 of the family's 1533-position model. The record is from RNAcentral.